This 84-nucleotide small RNA is filed under the name Escherichia coli. Its description in RNAcentral is "partial RtT sRNA". It matches the Rfam family "RtT RNA", at positions 1 to 82 of the family's 130-position model. From Rfam's summary of the family: This family represents a bacterial cis-regulatory element known as RtT RNA. The exact function of RtT is unknown although it is thought that it may be involved in changing the cellular response in relation to amino acid starvation. Lineage: Bacteria; Pseudomonadati; Pseudomonadota; Gammaproteobacteria; Enterobacterales; Enterobacteriaceae. The record is from RNAcentral.
AUUCUGCCCAUGCGGGGAAGGAUGAGAAGCUUCGACCAAGGUUCGACUCGAGCGCCAGCGAGAGAGCGUUGCCGCAGGCAACGA